RNAcentral lists this ribosomal RNA (498 nucleotides) under uncultured Massilia sp. RNAcentral's name for it is "partial 16S ribosomal RNA". The record is from RNAcentral. Lineage: Bacteria; Pseudomonadati; Pseudomonadota; Betaproteobacteria; Burkholderiales; Oxalobacteraceae.
CACGUAGUUAGCCGGUGCUUAUUCUUCAGGUACCGUCAUUAGCGAGGGAUAUUAGCCCUCACCGUUUCUUCCCUGACAAAAGAGCUUUACAACCCGAAGGCCUUCUUCACUCACGCGGCAUUGCUGGAUCAGGCUUUCGCCCAUUGUCCAAAAUUCCCCACUGCUGCCUCCCGUAGGAGUCUGGACCGUGUCUCAGUUCCAGUGUGGCUGGUCGUCCUCUCAGACCAGCUACUGAUCGUGGCCUUGGUGAGCCUUUACCUCACCAACUAGCUAAUCAGAUAUCGGCCGCUCCAGGAGCACAAGGUCCGAAGAUCCCCUGCUUUCAUCCUUAGAUCGUAUGCGGUAUUAGCGUAACUUUCGCUACGUUAUCCCCCACUCUUGGGUACGUUCCGAUAUAUUACUCACCCGUUCGCCACUCGCCGCCAGGUUGCCCCGCGCUGCCGUUCGACUUGCAUGUGUAAAGCAUGCCGCCAGCGUUCAAUCUGAGCCAGGAUCAAA